UGAUGAAGCGGAAGGGUAACCGACCGUGGAGAUAUCAGAAGUGCGAAUGCUGACAUGAGUAGCGAUAAAGAGGGUGAGAUGCCCUCUCGCCGAAAGACCAAGGGUUCCUGCUCAACGCUAAUCGGAGCAGGGUUAGCCGGCCCCUAAGACGAGCCCGAAGGGGGUAGUCGAUGGGAACCACGUAAAUAUUCGUGGGCCUGGUGGUGUGUGACGGAUGCUGGAAGUUGUUCAUCCUUAUUGGAUUGGGUGGGCAGCCAAGGUGUUCCAGGAAAUAGCCCCACCGUAUAGACCGUACCCGAAACCGACACAGGUGGUCAGGUAGAGUAUACCAAGGCGCUUGAGAGAAGUAUCCUGAAGGAACUCGGCAAAUUGCCUCCGUACCUUCGGAAGAAGGAGGCCCUGG
This 403-nucleotide ribosomal RNA is filed under the name Vitrella brassicaformis. RNAcentral describes it as "partial Bacterial large subunit ribosomal RNA". It matches the Rfam family "Bacterial large subunit ribosomal RNA", at positions 1248 to 1755 of the family's 2925-position model. The record is from RNAcentral. Lineage: Eukaryota; Vitrellaceae.